AUGACUCAGGAACCUUUAUAUCCCGAGGGCCAUCCUAAGAGAAUUGAGCAAGAUUCUCAGAGAAUUAAUGUUGAUGCACCUAGUUUUUCUAAAGAGAAGAAAAAGGAAAAUGAUAGGACCUUGCAUGCUUUUAAUGAACCUGUUAUUAACACAGCUGAUAAUCCCAAUGAUAUUUCUAUUUCUGAUGUUGAAACACAAUCUGGUAAUGAACCUGAACCUAGUGAUAAUGUUAAUUAUGAUGUUCAUGUUGAUGCUCAACCUAGUAAUAACAAUGAUGUAGAAAUUGAACCUGUUGUUGAUCUUGAUAACCCACAAUCAAAGAAUCAACGUUAUGAUAAGAGAGACUUCGUUGCUAGGAAGCACGGUAAAGAAAGAGAACCAUGGGUUUAG
RNAcentral lists this ribosomal RNA (390 nucleotides) under Triticum aestivum (bread wheat). RNAcentral describes it as "partial small subunit ribosomal RNA". The record is from RNAcentral. Lineage: Eukaryota; Viridiplantae; Streptophyta; Magnoliopsida; Poales; Poaceae.